RNAcentral lists this ribosomal RNA (333 nucleotides) under uncultured eukaryote. Its description in RNAcentral is "partial 18S ribosomal RNA". It matches the Rfam family "Eukaryotic small subunit ribosomal RNA", at positions 1470 to 1795 of the family's 1831-position model. The record is from RNAcentral.
CCCUUAGAUGUCCGGGGCCGCACGCGCGCUACACUGAAGGAAUCAGCGUGGCUUUCUCCCUGACCCGAAAGGGUUGGGAAACCCGUUGAAUCUCCUUCGUGAUAGGGAUUGGGGCUUGAAAUUGUUCCCCAUGAACGAGGAAUUCCCAGUAAGCGCGAGUCAUAAGCUCGCGUUGAUUACGUCCCUGCCCUUUGUACACACCGCCCGUCGCUACUACCGAUUGAACGGUUUAGUGAGGGCCUCGGAUUGGUCUCGGCCCGCUCUUUACCGGGCGGCGCCGUUGGUCGAGAAGACGCUCGAACUUGAUCGUUUAGAGGAAGUAAAAGUCGUAAC